UACGGGGGGGGCAAGCGUUGUUCGGAAUUACUGGGCGUAAAGGGCUCGUAGGUUGCCAACUAAGUCAGACGUGAAAUCCCUCGGCUUAACCGGGGAACUGCGUCUGAUACUGGAUGGCUUGAGAUUGGGAGAGGGAUGCGGAAUUCCAGGUGUAGCGGUGAAAUGCGUAGAUAUCUGGAGGAACACCGGUGGCGAAGGCGACUACCUGGCCUGUUCUUGGCGCUGAGGCGCGAAAGCUAGGGGAGCAAACGGG
RNAcentral lists this ribosomal RNA (253 nucleotides) under uncultured bacterium. RNAcentral's name for it is "partial 16S ribosomal RNA". It matches the Rfam family "Bacterial small subunit ribosomal RNA", at positions 524 to 776 of the family's 1533-position model. The record is from RNAcentral.